Molecule: transfer RNA, 85 nt
Filed under: Nitrososphaerota archaeon
Lineage: Archaea; Thermoproteati; Nitrososphaerota
Also listed under: 1 other name
Description: Thaumarchaeota archaeon tRNA-Leu
Rfam family: tRNA
About the family: Transfer RNA (tRNA) molecules are approximately 80 nucleotides in length. Their secondary structure includes four short double-helical elements and three loops (D, anti-codon, and T loops).
Source: RNAcentral
GGAGGAGUAAUCAAGCCUGGCCAAAGAUGCAGGACUUAAGAUCCUGUCUCUCAGGAGUUCGUGGGUUCAAAUCCCGCCUCCUCCA